This 253-nucleotide ribosomal RNA is filed under the name uncultured bacterium. Its description in RNAcentral is "partial 16S ribosomal RNA". It matches the Rfam family "Bacterial small subunit ribosomal RNA", at positions 524 to 776 of the family's 1533-position model. The record is from RNAcentral.
UACGAAGGGGGCUAGCGUUGUUCGGAAUUACUGGGCGUAAAGCGCACGUAGGCGGAUAUUUAAGUCGGGGGUGAAAUCCCGGGGCUCAACCCCGGAACUGCCUUCGAUACUGGGUAUCUUGAGUUCGGAAGAGGUGAGUGGAAUUGCGAGUGUAGAGGUGAAAUUCGUAGAUAUUCGCAGGAACACCAGUGGCGAAGGCGGCUCACUGGUCCGAUACUGACGCUGAGGUGCGAAAGCGUGGGGAGCAAACGGG